This is a small nucleolar RNA of Tachyglossus aculeatus (Australian echidna), 144 nucleotides long. The record is from RefSeq and is a predicted model, not a curated record. Lineage: Eukaryota; Metazoa; Chordata; Mammalia; Monotremata; Tachyglossidae.
CCCCUAUCAGAAUCAUACCUGGAGAGUUUUCAGUACUCUACCAGUCUCGGCUAUGGGAGGGAGAGUCAAGCAGAGGCAGAGGCAUACUCAUUCCAUUCCUAGCUUGGACAGUGGCUAGCGAGGGGAAGGCAAUCUGCUACAAGU